RNAcentral lists this ribosomal RNA (250 nucleotides) under uncultured bacterium. Its description in RNAcentral is "partial 16S ribosomal RNA". It matches the Rfam family "Bacterial small subunit ribosomal RNA", at positions 16 to 253 of the family's 1533-position model. The record is from RNAcentral.
GACCUGGCUCAGGACGAACGCUGGCGGCGUGCCUAAUACAUGCAAGUCGAGCGAAGUUUUUCUGGUGCUUGCACCGGAAAAACUUAGCGGCGAACGGGUGAGUAACGCGUAAAGAACCUGCCUCAUAGACUGGGACAACUAUUGGAAACGAUAGCUAAUACCGGAUAACAGCAUUAACUGCAUGGUUGAUGUUUAAAAGUUGGUUUUGCUAACACUAUGAGAUGGCUUUGCGGUGCAUUAGCUAGUUGGG